This 492-nucleotide ribosomal RNA is filed under the name uncultured bacterium. Its description in RNAcentral is "partial 16S ribosomal RNA". It matches the Rfam family "Bacterial small subunit ribosomal RNA", at positions 29 to 507 of the family's 1533-position model. The record is from RNAcentral.
AGUGAACGCUGGCGGUAGGCCUAACACAUGCAAGUCGAACGGCAGCACAGUAAGAGCUUGCUCUUACGGGUGGCGAGUGGCGGACGGGUGAGGAAUACAUCGGAAUCUACUUUUUCGUGGGGGAUAACGUAGGGAAACUUACGCUAAUACCGCAUACGACCUACGGGUGAAAGCAGGGGAUCUUCGGACCUUGCGCGAUUGAAUGAGCCGAUGUCGGAUUAGCUAGUUGGCGGGGUAAAGGCCCACCAAGGCGACGAUCCGUAGCUGGUCUGAGAGGAUGAUCAGCCACACUGGAACUGAGACACGGUCCAGACUCCUACGGGAGGCGGCUGUGGGGAAUAUUGGACAAUGGGCGCAGGCCUGAUCCAGCCAUACCGCGUGGGUGAAGAAGGCCUUCGGGUUGUAAAGCCCUUUUGUUGGGAAAGAAAAGCAGCAGGUUAAUACCCCGCUGUUCUGACGGUACCCAAAGAAUAAGCACCGGCUAACUUCGUG